Molecule: non-coding RNA, 523 nt
Filed under: Dracunculus medinensis (Guinea worm)
Lineage: Eukaryota; Metazoa; Nematoda; Chromadorea; Rhabditida; Dracunculidae
Description: Eukaryotic large subunit ribosomal RNA
Rfam family: Eukaryotic large subunit ribosomal RNA
Source: Rfam by way of RNAcentral
AAAAUUAAAAAGUGUUUUAUGAGUAUUAUUGUUUUUUACAAUUGAUUAUGUGUCAAUCACUGUAUACAGAAAAGUUACCACAGGGAUAACUGGCUUGUGGCAGCCAAGCUUCCUAUCAUUGUGAAGCAGAAUUCACCAGAUUGGAUUGUUCAUCCACCAAUAGAGAACGUGAGCUGGGUCUAGGCCGUUGUGAGGCAGUUUUACCCUACUGUGAUGUGUUGUGCGAUAGUAAUCCUGCUUAGUAAUCCGGCCAAUGGUGCGGACUGAAUGCCUCUAAGUCCGAAUCCCGCCUAGACAUGGCAACGAUAAUUUUGCUCCUCGAUGUCGAGAGGCAAAUCUAUAUAGAUAUGUUUAUUGUGCAUAUCUAUAAUAUUAGCCCCAUUAGAUGGUAUUGCUAUACGUGUUGAAUAAAUUGCAUGUAUAGUUGCCAAAGCUGAAAAUCCGCUACCAAUUUCAGGGUGCAAAAUCACUUGUAGACGACAUUAAUAAAAUAUGAUCCGUUUGAACCUGUAAUUUUCGCUUU